Molecule: long non-coding RNA, 5864 nt
Filed under: Nicotiana benthamiana
Lineage: Eukaryota; Viridiplantae; Streptophyta; Magnoliopsida; Solanales; Solanaceae
Description: long non-coding RNA (NBEN_LNC039141)
Source: RNAcentral
UCAAAAUCAACAAAAAAACUUUGUGGAAGAAAUUCAAGCCAUGUAGACUAAGGAUAUGACUGACUUUUUGAACUUUUUCUUGCAAAAACGGUUCAUGGAAAUGUCACAUCAUCUAAAGGAGUUACCUUAUAUACUGUGGUGUUAUUUUUCAAAGGUGAUUUUUAAUGUAUUGGAGAGGCACUAUGCAACUUGCCCUCAAAUUCCAAGCCCUAAAGAAGCCAUGAGACAUUUAGUUGAAUCAGAGAAAAGAUGCAUUGGCUGAUUGGCUACAAAACUCUUUGGAGAUGGAAAGAUUGAUUUUCAAAACAAUCAAUCCAAAAUAUGAGGUAUUGGUUUUUCAAUCAUCUACCCUGGAGAAGAAGCUGAUGGAGGAGCUCUCGAAAGGUGCCCACACGAUGAUGCUCAACAUAUAAGCUUGGAGCUGGUCAACAUUGAUCAUUUAUCAAAUAAUAACAGUGAUAAUGUUCAGAAAGCAUUCCAAGUUUACAUAAAAGUUGGUAUAUAUUGGGAUAUUAUUUCCUUGAGAUUGCCUGAGUUUAUUAUGGUCUAUAUGACAUCAGCUAUCGAGAGGUUGGUUGAUAAUAUUAAAGGGGAUAUAUUUAUUCAUAUGUGUCGUAGUCUAAUGGGGGCAUGAUAAAUAUUUCAUUUUGCCUGUUUUAUCUCCUAAUGAGUGAUGCUUGAAGAGCGUCUAAAAGCCCAUAAGAAGCAGUUGGUGGACAUCAUUGAAGUUUAAUUUAGUUUUGAAUGUGAUCAAGUAUUAAGUGAUGCAUGAAAGGUAUUUUUUUGUGGUUUAUGUUCUUUUAGGUUAUUUUUUUAAUUUAAAUUUUUGGGUUUGACGUAAUUAUGCUGCUACAAAAAGACAGUUGGGAAGUAGUAGCUCGAUUGUUAAUUUUUUCAUGUUUAGGUGUGUCAUCAUCACUUGGUUUUUAAAUAUUUUAUGAGUUUAGAUAAUCUCUUAGUUUUAAUAUACUUUAUUUUAUGUCUGAACCCACCUUUAAUUUUUCUUCAUCCUUGUUAACCAUUGGCUCUGAUACCACUAGUUGGGAUCGAAAUAAUAUGGAGCAUGCUAGAGCUAACAAAGAGAAUUUUGAUGAUACUAAAAAAUAUAAAACAUUAAUAUAGUUGGAAAACUGUCCUACAUAUGAUAAAAUUAAUUAAAAAGAAAAAAACUAUCUAAAGAAAAAUUUCUACCUAACAAUACUCUUUGGUGUUUACACUGUGAAAGUUGUAUUUCUUGCCACAACUAAUAGAGUUCUUUCACAUUUCUUGUCGACUUUCUUAGAUAUAUUCAUUGACUCAACUUUUUUAGGCAAUGAAUCAGUACUGACUGAUAAUACAUUCAAGAUAAUCUUGUCCUCGGGGUCAAAUAAUUCAAAAUCAUCUGCUAUAUUCGCUCAUAUAUCUCUUUAUUAGCUUCGUCUAAGGUAGGAAUCUCUGCGAAAUCCACAAUUGUAAGAUCAGAAAAACCGUUCUUCUUCAGGAUUAGAGUCAAAUGGUUGUAAGAUACUCCAUUUGUUAUGCCAACAAUUGUGUUUGUCACCCGACUUAUUUCUAAGGCUAUAUACCACUAAUCAUCAUCGGUAGUACUUCUCAGUGUCCUUGUUUUCUCAUCAAACUCGAGGGAAACCUCAAGUUUACGACUAUGAUAAUUUUGAAGCUUAAUAAGGAUAGGAACCCGAGUGCAGAAGUGUCCUUCUAAUAGAAUUUUGAUUCCGAUAAGGGAUGCAAUAAGACAAGAUUUACCUAAACAUGUGUAACCAGCUAGAACACCUGUAGGCACUGCAGGGGGUUGGAUACAUUGCUGCAUCACGCUUAAGCUUCGUUGGAGCUUAUUAAUGAAAUGAAAGAGCGGGGGCAGGAUAGUUUCAUCGGUUAUAUGAUAAGACAUUAGGUGGCGCAUAAUCUUCUUCUGGCCGUGAAUUGCUUUUCUUUUCACUAAUGUCCAUUGCUUGUUCUUUGUUCCAAGAAAAGAUGGAAUGUCACGUUUAGGAUUUAAACCCGUGAAUUAGAGCAAGUUUUGAAUAUUCUUUGCCACUUUAUUAGAUUUUUUUUCUUAUAUUAAAGGGAAUCAACAUUUUAUCCAGUUAAUGAGAUAAAGUAUGGCCCAUUUCCACUAUAUAAACUACUUGUUCUCUUUAUAUUCAUUGUGCUUAAAACAACUUUCUUCUCCAUUUUCUUUCUAGUGACAAAUACUAUAGUUUAUUCAAAACUCCAAUGGCCAGUAGUGUUAAAGUACUUAACGAUGAAAUUAUAGAAAAAAUUGUUGCAAUUGAAGAGUCUCCACCUUAUUUGGAUACUCACGAAGAAGUAUAUCUUGAAAUCAAAUGGAUUUCGGAAUACACAAAUGACUCACUAACCAAACUUUUUAAGGGUGAUUAUAGAGAGUUUCCUAAAAAGGGUGAUUAAGGAGAGUUUCCUAAAAAUUCUCAAAUGGAGGUUGCUGCUAGGAUACCAACUCAUUUCAAGAGCUUCUUUGAUAGCAUUCAGCUCAAAAAAGUUCGUCAAAACCAACAAAAAUUUUUGGUGGAAGAAAUUCAAGCCAUGCAGACUAAAGAUAAGAAUGACUUCUUGAACUUUUUCUUGCAAAAAAGGAUCACGGGAAUAUCAUAUCAUCUAAUGGAGUUACCCUGUCUACUGUGGAUUUAUAUUUCAAAGAUAAUUUUUAAUGUAUUGGAGAGGCACUGUGCAACUUGCCCUCAAAUUAUAUGCCUUAAAGAAGCCAUGAGACAUUUAGUUGAAUCAGCGAAAGACGCAUUGGCUGAUUGGCCACAAAAAUAUUUGGAGAUGGAAAGAUUGAUUUUCAAAACCAUCAAUCAAAAAUAUGAGGUAUUAGUUUCUCAAUCAUCAACCCUGGAGAAGAAGCUGAUGGAUGAGCUCUCGAAAAAUGCUCACACGAUGAUGCUUAACAUAUAAUACUUAAGUUGGUCAACACUGAUCAUUUAUCAAAUUAUAACAGUGAUAUUAUUCAGAAAUCAUUCCAUGUUUACAUAAAAGUUGGUAUUUAUUAGGAUAUUAUUUCAUUGAGAUAUGCUGAUUUAUGAUGGCCUAUAUGACAUCAGCUAUCCAGAAGUUGGUUGAUAAGAUUUAAGGGGAUGUAUUUAUUAAUAUGUGGCGUAGUCUAAUGGGGCAUGAUAAGCAUUUCAUUCUGCCUGUUCUAUCUCCAAAACGAGUGAUGCUUGAAGAGCGUCUAGAAGCCCUUAAAAAGCAGUUGGUAGCCACGAUAGAAAUUUAAUUUAUUUUUGAACGUGACCAAGUAUUAAGUGAUGCAUGAAAGGUGUUUCUUUUGUGGUUUAUAUUGUUUUAGUUUAUUUUUUUAAUUUAAAUUUUCGGGUUUAACGUAAUUAUUCUGCUACAAAAAUUCUGUUGGGAUUCAGUAGCUUGAUUGUUAAUCUUUUCAUGUUUAGGUGUGUCAUCAUCUCUUGGUUUUUAAAUAUUUUAUGAGUUUAGAUAAUCUCUUUGUUUUAAUAUAUUUUAUUUUAUGUCUGAACUCACCUUGAAUUUUUCUUCAACCUUGCUAGCCAUUGGCUCUAAUAUCACUUGUUGGGAUCGAAAUAAUAUGGUGCAUGCGAGAGCUAACAAAGAGAAUUUUGAUGAUACUAAAAAAACAUAAAACUUUAAUAUGGUUGGUCAAUUGACCUACAUAUAAUAAAAUUAAUUAUAAAGAAUUAUCUAAAGAAACAUUUCUCCCUAAUCAAAGCUCUUUGGUGUCUACAUUGUGAAAGUUGUAUUUCUUGCCGCAACUACUAGAGUUCUUUCACAUUUCUUGUCGACUUUCUUAGAUAUAUUCAUUGACUCAAAUUUUUUAGGUAAUGAAUCAGUACUGGUUGAUAAUACAUUCAAGAUAAUCCUGUCCUCGGGGUCAAAUAAUUCAAAAAUAUCAGGUGUAUUCGCUCAUAUAUCUCUUUAUUAGCUUCGUCUGAGAUAGGAAUCUCUGGCAAAUCCAUAAUAGUAAGAUCAGAAAAACUAUUCUUCUUUAGGAUUCGAGUCAAAGGGUUAUUAGAUAUUCCAUUUGAUAUGCCAACAAUUGUGUUUGUCACCCGACUUAUUUCUAAGGCUACACACCACUCAUCGUCAUCGGUAUUACUUCUCAUUGUCCUUGUUUUACUCAUAAAACUCGAGGGAAACCUCAAGUUUACGACUAUGAUGAUUUUGAAGCUUAAUAAGGACAGGAACUCGAGUGCAAAAGUGCCCUUUUAACGCAAUUUUGAUUCCGAUAAGGUAUGCAAUAACGCUAGAUGUACCUAAAUAUACCAACUAGAACAAUUGUAGGCACUACAGGGGGUUGGAUACAUUGUUGCAUAGCGUUUAAGCGUCGUUGCAGUUUAUUAACGAAAUCAAAGAGCGUGGGUCGGAUUGUUUCAUCAUUAUAUGAAGAGACAAUAGAUGGUACAUAAUCUUCUUCUGGUUGCGAAUUGAUUUUCUUUCAUUAAUGUCCAUUGUUUGUUCUUUGUUCCAAGAAAAGAUAGAAUGUCACGUUUAGGAUUUAAACACGUGAAUUAAAGCAAGUUUUGAAUAUUCUUUGCCACUUUAUUAAAUUUUUUUCUUAUAUUAAAGGGAAUCAACAUUUUAUCCAGUUAAUGAUAUAAAGUAUGGCCCGUUUUCACUAUAUAAACAACUUGUUCUCUUCAUAUUCAUUGUGCUUAAAACAACUUUCUUCUCCAUUUUCUUUCUAGUGACAGAUACUAUAGUUUAUUCAAAACUCCAAUGGGCAGUAGUGUUAAAGUACUUAAAGAUGAAUUAUAGAAACAAUUGCUGCAAUUGAAAAGUCUCCUCCUCAUUCUGAUACUCAGGAAGAAGUGUAUCUUGAAAUUAAAAGGAUUUCAGAAUCUACAAAUGACUCACUAACCAAGCUUCUUUAGGGUGAUAUGGAGAGUUUCCUAAAAAUUCUGAAAUGGGGGCUGCUACUAAGAUACCAGCUCAUUUCAAGAGCUUCUACGACAGUAUUAAACUCAAACAAGUUCGUCAAAAUCAACAGAAAAAUUUUGUGGAAGAAAUUCAAGCCAUAUAGAAUAAGGAUAUGACUGACUUUUUGAACUUUUUCUUGCAAAAAAGGUUCAUGGAAAUGUCACAUCAUCUAAAGGAGUUGCCCUGUCUACAGUGGAGUUAUUUUUCAAAGAUUAUUUUCAAUGUAUUGGAGAGGCAUUGUGCAACUUUCCCUCAAAUUCCAAGCCCUAAAGAAGACAUGCGACAUUUAGUUGAAUCAGAGAAAGAUGCAUUGGCUGAUUGGCUACAAAAAUAAUAGGAGAUGGAAAGAUUGAUUUGCAAAACAAUCAAUCCAAAAUAUGAGGUAUUGGUUUUUCAAUCAUCUACCCUGGAGAAGAAGCUGAUGGAGGAGCUCUCAAAAGGUGCCAACACGAUGAUGCUUAACAUAUAAGCUUGGAGUUGGUCAACAUUGAUCAUUUAUCAAAUUAUAACAGUGAUAAUGUUCAGAAAGCAUUCCAAGUUUACAUAAAAGUUGAUAUUUAUUGGGAUAUUAUUUCAUUGAGAUUGCCUGAUUAUAUGCUGAUCUAUAUGACAUCAGCUAUCAGUAGGUUGGUUGAUAAUAUUUAAGGGGAUAUAUUUAUUCAUAUGUGUCGUAGUCUAAUGGAGGCAUGAUAAACAUUUCAUUUUUCCUGUUCUAUCUCCAAACGAGUGAUGCUUGAAGAGCGUCUAAAAGACCAUAAAAAGUAGUUGGUGGCCAUCAUAGAAGUUUAAUUUGUUUUUGAAUGUGAUCAAGUAUUAAGUGAUGCAUGAAAGGUAUUUUUUUGUGAUUUAUGUUCUUUUAGGUUAUUUUUUAAUUUAAAUUUUCGGGUUUGACGUAAUUAUGCUGCUACAAAAAUUCAGUUGGGAUGCAGUAGCUCGAUUGUUAAUUUUUUCAUGUUUAG